AUGAACGCUGGCGGCGUGCCUAACACAUGCAAGUCGAGCGAAGCACUCUACCUGAUUUCUUCGGGAUGAAAGUAUUGUGACUGAGCGGCGGACGGGUGAGUAACGCGUGGAUAACCUGCCUCAUACAGGGGGAUAACACUUAGAAAUAGGUGCUAAUACCGCAUAAGCGCACAGUAUCGCAUGAUACAGUGUGAAAAACUCCGGUGGUAUAAGAUGGACCCGCGUCUGAUUAGCUUGUUGGCGGGGUAACGGCCCACCAAGGCGACGAUCAGUAGCCGGCCUGAGAGGGUGAACGGCCACAUUGGGACUGAGACACGGCCCAA
This 323-nucleotide ribosomal RNA is filed under the name uncultured bacterium. Its description in RNAcentral is "bacterial SSU rRNA". It matches the Rfam family "Bacterial small subunit ribosomal RNA", at positions 29 to 334 of the family's 1533-position model. The record is from RNAcentral.